RNAcentral lists this ribosomal RNA (470 nucleotides) under uncultured bacterium. Its description in RNAcentral is "partial 16S ribosomal RNA". It matches the Rfam family "Bacterial small subunit ribosomal RNA", at positions 27 to 507 of the family's 1533-position model. The record is from RNAcentral.
GGACGAACGCUGGCGGCGUGCUUAACACAUGCAAGUCGAACGGAAAGGCCCUGCUUGCAGGGUGCUCGAGUGGCGAACGGGUGAGUAACACGUGGGUGAUCUGCCCCUUACUUUGGGAUAAGCCUGGGAAACUGGGUCUAAUACUGGAUAGGACCAUGCUGUAGGUGGUGUGGUGGAAAGAUUAGUUUCGGUAAGGGAUGAGCUCGCGGCCUAUCAGCUUGUUGGUGGGGUAAUGGCCUACCAAGGCGUCGACGGGUAGCCGGCCUGAGAGGGUGGACGGCCACAUUGGGACUGAGAUACGGCCCAGACUCCUACGGGAGGCAGCAGUGGGGAAUAUUGCACAAUGGGCGCAAGCCUGAUGCAGCGACGCCGCGUGGGGGAUGACGGCCUUCGGGUUGUAAACUCCUUUCAGCCACGACGAAGCCCUUGUGGUGACGGUAGUGGUAGAAGAAGCACCGGCUAACUACGUG